Zalophus californianus (California sea lion) is the source of this 1382-nucleotide long non-coding RNA. RefSeq lists it as uncharacterized. NCBI's taxonomy places the organism in Eukaryota, Metazoa, Chordata, Mammalia, Carnivora, Otariidae. The transcript has 3 exons. The record is from RefSeq and is a predicted model, not a curated record.
GCCCAGGUCCGCCUCCGGGAAAAGAAACCCGCAGCUUCUCCGGUCCGCGUGUCCACGGGAAGAAGGGCCUGCGGCGCCCGGCCCCGCCUCCGCCGCCAAAGUCCGCCCCCCCGGAAUCAGCUCUGCAUUCAGAGCCUCAGUUCAACCAAGAUACCACAAAUCUGAGGUGACUAGAAAAAAGCAGCAUGACCCCACUUUACUUAGGACAUGUUACAAGAAUUGACACUUUUCCUGAAACGAGAGACUUCACCAAGUUUGGCUUUCCAUACCUACUCCCGUUUUAUCGAAGAUUUCUUUCCCUAUUGGUAGUGUUAGUUGCCCAAAGUAAAAUUCUUUCUCUGGGAAUAACUUGUUGGAAAAGCACUUGCUCCGAGGGAAGCCAGUUGCCAUUUCAGAAAGACACCUAAGCAGCUCUAGAGACUCACAUAACAAGGAACUGAGGCCUCCUGCCAACAUCCAUGUGAUUGAGCCAUGUUGGAAGUGGAUCCUCCAGCUCCAGCCAAGCAUUCAGAUGACUAAAGCCCCCACUCACAUCUUCGCUGCAACCUCAUUGGAGAUACUUAGCCAGAACCAUCCAGCUAAGCCAUAUCUGAAUUCCUAACCAGUAGCAAUUAUGAGAUAAAAUGAUCAUUGUUUUAAGGUGCUAAAUUUUGGAAUAAUAUGUAACCCAACAAUAGAUGAUAAAUAUACCCAAGAAGGAUUAAGAUUUUAAAAAAUAAGGACAUAUCUAGAAAUUAGAGGGAAAAAAAAACCUUACAAACACCAGACAGAACAAGCUACUUACAAAUAAACAAAAUCUGAUGAAAAUUUCUUAAUAGUAAUAAUGAAAGCUGUAAGUCAACAACAACAUUUGGAAAAGCAAAGAUUCAGUUUGCCAAUACAUCCUAUUUUCAAAAAUAAUGGAACUUAUUUUUCUUCUCUAAUUCUCUAUUUAUAUAAAAUUCUCUAAUUAUAUAAAAAUGGAAUAGAAUUUAAUCGUGACUACCCCGAAGAUCCUAGGGCAAGAUGAAGAAUACAGAAAAAUCUAUUUUACAAUAUUUAAGUGGAUGAGACAGAAUGAAUAAUUUGUAAUGAGUUGUGAAAUAAAAAUAAUUUCCACUUACAUAGCUCUGUAGUAAACUUUCUAAUAUAUAAUACAUCAUUCAACAAGUAUUUACUAAAACUUACCAUACCUAUGUACUUUAAAAAAACCUUUCAGCAAGUUUGUGGACUUUGAAGCCAUUCUUUAAAGAAUGAAGGUUCAGGGCCACUGGGGUGGCUCAGUUAAGCACCAGAUUCUUGAUUUCAGCUCAGGUCAUGAUCUCGGGGUCAUGAGAUCAAGCCCUGCUGGCCUGGAGCCAGCUUAAAAUUCCCUCUCCCCCUCUGCACCUCUCCACCACUUG